Patiria miniata (bat star) is the source of this 160-nucleotide long non-coding RNA. RefSeq lists it as uncharacterized. The record is from RefSeq and is a predicted model, not a curated record. The transcript has 3 exons. Lineage: Eukaryota; Metazoa; Echinodermata; Asteroidea; Valvatida; Asterinidae.
UCAUUCUGUACAGAAUAAAAAUGAUUAAACUGAAACAAAUCAGGCAAUAAUUCUCCGCGACUUUUCUUCUCAACGGUACAUGGUAUAAACUGGAAACCUUGAACAAACACUAACCCUGAUUCCGAGAAAUUGAUGACGUGCAUGCCAUGAGCAGCCAGUG